AUUCAGAGCAGUCAUCGCUGUUCCGUUGUGCUGUUAAAAUCAACGUUGACAGAUCGAGCUGCCAUGCAUUGGCACAGAGGAACGCUGCUCAUGUCAGAUUUGGACAUCUGUGUGAUGUGUCCCGAGGGGCGGCAGGCAUGACCAUGAAUGAGCUGGACGUGCAGGCCCUGGCUACCCUCCUCCACCCCCCACAAGCCGAGGACAGUGAUGACAAUGACUACAAACCCCAAAAAAGCAUUACUCCUGCUGACCUGGGGUCCAAUAUCCAUAAAGCAGGGCAGAGUGGAUGCUCCAUGCAACCUGUAAAUGACACACUCAAGGCUUCCUCCAUGCCAGGUAGGGCAUGGCUACAUACCCUGGGGCUUCCAAACCUUGAGUUUUACUCAUUAUAAUUUCAUUAUCUACUAGUGCAAAAAUAUUAUAAAAAUUGUAAA
Molecule: long non-coding RNA, 434 nt
Organism: Eriocheir sinensis (Chinese mitten crab)
Lineage: Eukaryota; Metazoa; Arthropoda; Malacostraca; Decapoda; Varunidae
Exons: 3
Source: RefSeq, a predicted model, not a curated record